UGGGGAAUCUUGCACAGUGGGGGCAACCCUGAUGCAGCGACGCCGCGUGAGCGAUGAAGCCCUUCGGGGCGUAAAGCUCUUUCGACCGGAACGAUAAUGACGGUACCGGGAGAAGAAGCUGCGGCUAACUACGUGCCAGCAGCCGCGGUAAUACGUAGGCAGCAAGCGUUGUUCGGAGUUACUGGGCGUAAAGAGUGCGUAGGCGGUUUUCUAAGUUCGGCGUGAAAUCUCCCGGCUUAACUGGGAGGGUGCGCCGAAGACUGGGAAGCUGGAGUGUGGGAAAGGCAGGCGGAAUUCCUGGUGUAGCGGUGAAAUGCGUAGAUAUCAGGAGGAACACGGGCGGUGUAGACGGCUUGCUAGACCAUAACUGACGCUGAGGCACGAAAGCGUGGGUAGCAAAC
RNAcentral lists this ribosomal RNA (401 nucleotides) under uncultured bacterium. RNAcentral's name for it is "bacterial SSU rRNA". It matches the Rfam family "Bacterial small subunit ribosomal RNA", at positions 355 to 773 of the family's 1533-position model. The record is from RNAcentral.